Molecule: ribosomal RNA, 420 nt
Filed under: Triticum aestivum (bread wheat)
Lineage: Eukaryota; Viridiplantae; Streptophyta; Magnoliopsida; Poales; Poaceae
Description: partial small subunit ribosomal RNA
Source: RNAcentral
AUGCCUACCUUCUCGUCACCUUCCUCAGAUAGCAGCUGCAAGCAAACAAUGCGAAUAUAUACAUGUACUUCGCGUAUUCGUGUGGUGGUUUAUCUGCGCCUACGCGCGAGGGAGAGUAGAAGCUCCGACCUUGCCAAUGGCAAUGCCGUGGGAGAUGGUGGUGUGCAUAGCGGGCAACGUGUGGGUGCUGCUCGCCGGCUGGAUCUCCGUCUGCUUCCUGGCCGCGGACGAGGCCGCCCGCCUCCUCCGGUCGGCUACCGAUUGAUCAUUGAUGAUCAGGAUAACCAGAGGAAAUGUUGGUUAAAUACAAAGUAUGUCUGGAGCAUGGUGUUAUUAUGUCAGAGAAACUGUCAAGUAUCUUCUCAACGAGUUGGAGGGAGGAAAAUUGGUGGAGCAAUUCAUGGUGCUGCUACUCUAUAA